This 192-nucleotide ribosomal RNA is filed under the name Triticum aestivum (bread wheat). Its description in RNAcentral is "partial small subunit ribosomal RNA". The record is from RNAcentral. Lineage: Eukaryota; Viridiplantae; Streptophyta; Magnoliopsida; Poales; Poaceae.
AUGCUCAAGAGCUCCGAUGACGAGCUCGAAUUGUUGAAUAAGCAGUUCGACAUUCGCUUGGCGAAUGAAGUGGAUCAACCUCUUUUUGGCUCGGGCCAAACACUUUUUCUCGCUGGUAGAGCUUUCUAAAAAAAAGCAUGCGAGAGCGUAUUCUCUUAUCUAAGCUUCCUCCUUUCGCUCCCCCCAUCGUAG